ACAUUCAAGAGUGUCGCUUCCCCAGCACAUAGGAUACCAAGAAGAGUAGCCUAGCCCAUGUGCACAAGGAUGAUAUGCAAAUUCACGAAGUAUCCCAUGUUUUU
This is a small nuclear RNA of Panthera pardus (leopard), 104 nucleotides long. The record is from Ensembl. Lineage: Eukaryota; Metazoa; Chordata; Mammalia; Carnivora; Felidae.